RNAcentral lists this ribosomal RNA (40 nucleotides) under Trigonocaryum involucratum. Its description in RNAcentral is "Myosotis involucrata partial 26S ribosomal RNA". The record is from RNAcentral. Lineage: Eukaryota; Viridiplantae; Streptophyta; Magnoliopsida; Boraginales; Boraginaceae.
GGUCAGGCGGGACUACCCGCUGAAUUUAAGCAUAUCAAUA